GCCAGCUUAGCUGCUGGGACCAGAGGGCAGUUAGGCGCGGCUGGGGAGGUUGGGGACUGCGGCUACGGCUGGGCGGAGAGUGUGCUGGGCCUUCGCUUUCCCGGACUUGCAGUCUCCUCUUCUCCCUCCCCAGUCCGGCCCUCCCUCCUCACCGCAGCAGCCGCCACCUGGAGCCUCGCACAAAGCAGGGUGGAUGCUCGCCCCUUUGAGCUGCUGCCUGCGUGCCUUGUGCGCUGCCUGCGCCUUGAUCACCCAGACCACUGCACCUCAGAAACGUCUCUGCCUGGCCCGCCUGUAGGGAACCAGAGCCAGACUCCUAGAAGGCUUCCUGUAUAGCCCUUGUCUACAUGUCCUCCCUACUUCUUGUGGACUCUGGCUUCGGACCCACAUCACUCAACAGGGAAUGGCUGUCUCCAGUGGUGUGAUUUUGCCCAGCAGUGUUCAUCAGUGGCGGAGAUUUAGGGGAUAUUUCUACAUGGGGACGGAGAUCCAGGAGCUGAUGAGGAGAUCCAUGGACAGGAGACUGAAGGAAGCCCUUAGAAGGACAAGGGAGCUGUUUGGACACCAGAAGAGCCUUCACAUUUUCCAGUAUUGUGGAAUCGGUUUCCAGAGUGUUUCCGUUUCCUGUGAUAAAAGAAGGGUGUUUCCAAGACUCAAGCAGCUGGACAUCCCCUAACAUGUCAGGCAGGAACCUUGCAGAUAAGUAUGACAAACUUACCAGCCUCCUCUCUCUAGUCUUUUUGGCUCUGAGAAAGGCUAGCGUGGGAUAGGUGCUUAAUAAAUGUUCAUGUUGAGUGGAAUUGAAUAGAACAUAGAGAAGGCAGAAUCAUAGGCUUUUGGGUCAGGAAGGAAACUUGAGAGGUCAUCUCCAUUGCUCUGCCUCUAGGUGGCACUUCUGAGAGAUGAGAGACCAUUUCCGUUGUUUUUCAGGGUCCCAGAGGACCUGGUCCAACUCUCCUUCUGGGCUCUCUUUAGCUCCAAGCUCAGUUUCUCAUGCUGGGUCAAAAGUAUUGAGAUCCCUUUUGGUCUUGGGGCGUGGAAGCCGAGUAACCCUGCUGACUGGGGUUCUUAUACUCUUACUUCCUCUGUGACUUUGGUCAAACCCUGAGGAUUUGAUAUCACUUUCCUUAUAUGCACCAAAUACUGCUACCCAACAUACACUUUAUGUAAACCUUUAGGUAAAAGUCUUCUUAUUUUGGCUUUGCAUACAAUGUAGCACAAUGUCUGUGGCAAAUAACAAUACAGGCUAUAUCUGGACCUCAGUUUCCUUAUCUGUAACAUGAGGCAGUUGGACUAGAUGACCUUUAAAAUCCUUUCCAGUUCUAGAACUCUGAUGAUCAUAACCAAAUAUACUUGUUCCUGAGACUAGAUUCAGGACAGAAUCCCCACUCUCCUUCUCAGCUGUGUAACCAGGAACCAUGGGGCAUCUUGGGGGAAUAGAAGCUUGUAUAUAGCCUGGCCCCUCUGAUCUGCUUUUCACACAGACUUAGAGCUUUCUUAGAUUCUGUUGCAAUGUGAGAAGGAUGCAUAGAAUUAUAGGCUGUCAGAGCUGGGAGUCAUCUUAGAUUACAGAAUGUGAGAUCUGGGAUGUCAGGGCAGGGAGGACCCUUAGAACAAAGAAUGUCAGAGUUAGGAAGGCAUGUAAAACAAAGAAUGUAGGCCAGAGCCAGAAAGAGCCCUAAAAUGUAGAAUGCUAGAGCAUAGGCCAUAUAACAUUGGAGCUGGGAGGGACCUCUCUGGGCAUCCAGUUCGACCUCAUUUUUUUUAAACAACGAAAAUGUUAUUUUUGCCCUAUGGAUUGGAAACAGUUAGAAACAGAAUCAGGUUAACCUACAGGUCCAUGUAAAUUACAAUAAUUCCUUAUAAAUAAAUUGAAAAUAUGUAUGAAUUUCCAAAGAAAUGGCUGAUUUCAUAGAGACAGCUUUUAAACCUAGUUCUUUAUGGUCCUUAACAGGAAUUGCUUUAUUUAAAACUGGCUCACAGUGAGGUUCACGUGAACCAUAGGGGUAAAUACUCUCCAAAGCACAGUGAGGCUGACAGGAUAGUAUGCUUACCAGCACGUUCCUUGUGACUACAAGAAAUACUUAAUACCAGCCAUUAUUCAGUGAAAUGAAAACAACAUAAGAUGAAUGUAAAAGACACCUGUCCGUGAACAGAAUCUGUUGGUCACUGCCUUUUUUUUUCUUAACCAGGCCAAUCCUGUAGUUUUACAGUUUCGGAAAAUAGCCCCAGGCAUGCAAAAUGACUUGCUACAGAUUGCAUAGUAAAUUAUUGACAGGACUGGAACCAGAGCCCAGUCCUUCUGAAUUUUUCAUUCCCAAUUCCACAGAUAAGUCCCAUUUCUUUGACUUUGUAUUCCCUGGGUAGCAAUCCUCUCUUCCAUUCUCACUGCCUGACUGGCCCCUAGACUUUACAGGCUGGAGGGUUUGUUUCUAGUGAUUCGGAGCAGGAAGAGGAAGAGCCACUCAGUUCAGUGUCCAGGGGCUCAGAUCAUUAUUGCUCCCUCCACAUUUUGAAAAAGCACCCAAAGAGUGGGUUUAGCCUUCCCCUUCCAGGCCCAGUGCCAUUGUCCUCUGAGGAUAUCUCCUUUUCCCACAGGUCUACAGUAGAGAUUGAGGGUAACUCCACUGCUUGGCAUAUGAGUCAAUUAGUAAAAUCUUACUGACCAACUACAUAGCUCACAGGAUGCUGAAAAAAAGGAGACGUCUCCAGGAGUCACCCCUCCGACCCACUUAGCCUGAGCAUUUUUGUGGGGAAAGGAGUGAGGGAAAUAUUGGUCCCCUCCAGAGCAGACCAGCCAGUUCUGUAGGGGAUUCAUGAAGGAUCAUGUAGGAGUUGCCUCUGUCAGCAUGCCAGUUACUUCCAAGCCACUAAGGCAAAAAGAGGAGUCACUAUCCAUCAUUCUACCUCCAGCUUCCAUUUGGGGACCUUUUUUUUUUAAUCCCUGCAGAGCUGACCUCAGUGUUCAUUGUUAUCUGAUUUUACCUGGAUAAAUAUGUUGGGUGAUAAGAUUAGCAGCUUUGGCUGGGUUUUAAAAGACCAGGACCCCCAACUGCUCACUAUGUACCUCUGGAGUCCUAUACGGCCAAGGAACAUUCUCAAUCUUGGCACCUGAUCACACUCCAUACCCUUUAAGGAUGGCCUUAGUGGGUUCUCCUUCCACUUUCAGAGAAUUAUUAUCUUCAUGACUUUGUGAUUAUCUUUGGAUGACCCAAGGCUGGGCAGUUUCAUACCUUUCAAAUCAUCUCUAAUGGUUUAGAGUCUCAGGUUGUAAAUGCAACAGUGAUGUGGUCUCAGGAAGGUCUUAUCUUUGUGGACUCACUGUGAGGAGGCUUGUCUUUAGCUAUUAUGGAGGUAUCAAGCAAAGUCAGAUUUAUUCCCUAAAGGAAAAAAAAACCCACAGACACCUGCAAAACCAUGUGAAUGGUAAAGGUAACUGACAUUUGUGUGGCUCUUUGAGAUUUUUCUAAGUGUUUCUUACACUUUAUCUCAUUGGAGUAUGACAACAACCCUAGGAAGCUCAUACACUACAAGAAUUCCUAUCUCCAUCUUAGAGAUUAGGAAACUGAGGCUGGCCAUAUAGUUAGGAAGUAUUGGAGGUAGGAUUUGAACCAAAGUCUACCUGACCCCAAGUCCAAUACUCAAGCCACCACACCAAGUUAUGUAUCCCAAGAGCAAAGGUACUGGGAGGGACAUACCUAGAGAGAUUCUUACCAGGAAAGUUUCUGUUCAUUUCAUCAAUGCACCUUUACCAAAUCUAGGGGCUCAGUUGAGUCUGAGAUGCUCUCUGCAAGGAACCAAAUCUUCCCAAAGCUCCAAAAGAGAAUGCCUGGUAGUGUAUUUUAAUCUUUACAUGGCGGUAUGUUGGUUGUUUCUGUUGCUGAUAUUGGUAUUGCUUUUAUUAUUGUUGUUGUUGUUUUGGUUAUUAAGCUCGCUUAUAAAGCCUUCCCUUGUCCAUAGUGACCGCUGCUGCUUUUCGCUGUCCCCGACCAUAGUGCUGAAGUAGUUCCCUGCUCCUUGGCUUUCCCUGGCCAUGGUGCUGACAGUAAUAUCAACUUCUAUCUCUUCAUAGAAGCUCUGGCCCUUGGUGUCUGUGUGGUGGUGUGGGGGAUGGAUGUGAGAUGGCACUUGAUUAGACUCUAGAAUCCUUAGGGUUCCUGGGAUUUCUCACUAGCUAAAAGACCCUGGGAUUGGGGAGGGAUCUUGUUUUCUUCUGCUGCUUUGCUCGGUUGUCUUCUCUUCCAGCCACUAAGGACCCAACCUGGACAGUUCACAAGCCCAUCCAGGGUCUGGAGCCUCAGAAAUGCCUGUCUUGAUUCUUUCUUGCUGUCAGCCAGUUGAUUGGACACCUCCAGAGCAGCUGUGCACACAAAUGUCUACCUGUUCCGGACUCCAGUGGCUGCUACAUCCUGACUCUUCCCCCCCGAGAAGUGACCGGCCUUGUCCAGAGUUCCAUCUCCAAGUCCCAGAUGGAAGAUACUGAGCCUGGCCCGACGGACUCUUCUUCUCAGGACCUCCCCACCACCCUGUCCUUUUCCCACCCAGCAGAGUGAGUGCCAGAGCUCAGAGAAUGCUGAAAGAGCUCUGCGUUUAGAGUUGGAUGACAUGGGUUUCAAUCCUGGCCCUGCUACUUCUACUUACGUGAAUUCUGACAAGCCACUUCACCUCUCUGGGCCUCAGUUUCCCCCUGUGUAAAAUGGGAAGGGUUGGACCUCAGAAGACCCUUUCCAUACUAGAUUUAUGACCCAAGGGUCUAUUAAUGAGUUCCUGCCUUGGCUGCCAUCCCACAGAGAAUGAUGGUCUCUGUGAUCCAGAACAAUGCUGCCUACAGAGACAGAGCCCCAGGUAAAGGCACAUGUAUGGGGCUCUGGGGAAGACAUCCAGCAUGGCUUGGCUACCUACCCGGGGGAUGUUUAGAGCCUGCAGGGAGACUUUCCUUCUCAUCAAUCCUGGCCUCUUCUACAUGAGGUGCAGUGGGGUGAACUCUGACUAACUCAGGGUCAAGCUUAAGGAUUCUCCAGCCUAGGGAAGGGCAUGAUAUAUAGCAAAGACCACUGGAUUUGGCAUCAGAAGACCUGGGUUAGAACUCAGGUUGUGUUAGGAGCUAUGCAGCCUUGGGAAGUGCCUUCAACUCUCUGGCCUUGGUUUCCUCACCUGUAAAAGGAGGGGGUUGGACUAGAUGGUCUUUACAGGUGUUUUUAACUCUAAGCCUGAUGCUUCUUUGCCAAUCCCUACCAAGUAGUGCUUCCCCCUUCCCCUCCUACUAGGGCACCCAGCCUGUGGCCAAAACCAUUCUCUCAAUAAUGCCUUCCCUAACUCCACUUCGAAAGGCCCCUUCAGGAGGGAAUAGGAAUGCAAAAUUGGAAGAGGGAAGUCUCAAGGGGGAGUGGUGGGAGAAGUGCGGGGAGCUUGGAUUCCUAGAUAGAGACCUUUCUGUUUCCCAUCCUUCACUGUUCAAUCAUUCCUCAGAGGCAUCACUUUUUUGGAGGGUUGGUGGGAUCCCCCAGAAUCACUGGGGAAGAAUCUGCCCCCCUUCAUUGGAGGAGGGCUGGUGGAGGGGAGGAAGGAAUGUUUUGCAGGUGAAAUGAAUGCAGACCAAUUUUUUUCCCCCUGUGAGUGGGUAGAACAAUAUUCCAGAACAGCGUGACUUUGGAGACCUCCAGGUUUUCUAGUCCAGAUCUUGGGCCAAGGCCCUGCUUUGCUCGGCCAGGGGACAGGUGCCCAGCAGUCAGAAGGGAAAGUGAGUGAAAUGUGGUACCUGAGUAAGAUUGCCCUCCCCCAAUUCCCUGGAUGCGCCCAUUGACCAAGGGUCAUGCCCAAUAGGAUAAGUAUUGGGAAGAGGUGGCUAGGGUCCAAUUCGGUCAUCCAUCAAAUCAUAGCUGAGAUGAUGACAGAUCUCACCUUGACCCCUCUGCCUCCUGAUUUUCCUUUCUGACAGCUGUCGUCCUGUCAUUGCAAAGUUCUUCCUAUUGGUGGGAGGAAGGCAAGCAGGAGAGAGACCCUGAACUGGGUGCACAGCUGGGGGUCCUUGGACCAAGUACUUGACCUGUAGGGUCCAUUGAUUUAUCUGCAAAAUAAGGGUAGUGAGGUCUCACCUUCUGGAAGGCAGGGGAUUGGAUUAGAUGACCUAAUGAGAUUCCUUCCUCCUACAGUCUCUGUGGCUUCAAGACCUCUGGUGGUGGGAGAUGGUCUGGUGCAAACUUGGAAACAGCAGCUGCUUUAAGAAUCAUGCCCUGUCACUGCAGGUCAAGUACAGGCUGUAUUGCUACCUUCUAGGUCUAUAUACCCUUGUCACUAGGUAGGAGAUGGGGCUGCAGGUGCUUAAGGCCAUUAGCAAUGACCUCAUUGGGGUAGAUGCCAUUGACCUUUCAGCCCUUAACUAUGACAGGACUGUGGAGGGAGUAGUUUUGGAGAGGGUUUGGUUAUGUUCUAUGAUCUCCUAGAAGGGGUUGGGACAUGACCCAGAGGGUCCCCACUCCUGUAGUGUAGUGGAUAUGGAGUUCAAAGAGCUGAGUUCAUUUCCCACCUUCAUUGCUUGUUCUCUGUGUGACCUUGGGCAAGUCACUUAACUUGAGCCUUAGCUUUUUCAUCUAUAAAAUGAUGAAGUUGGACCCAAUGACCUCUGAAACACUUCCAACCCUAAAUCUAUGAUCAUGUAAUAAGUCAUUAAGAAUGUCUCUCUUCUGUGAGUUCAAAUGACUUCUUUUGAAAACUAUCUGCUUAGCAUAUUCCACCUCUUAGAGUUCAUGAGUCGGUAAGAACCAUGGUCUAGACUGUGAAAAGCCCUUGUGUGGAAGAUCUGGAUUCUAGCUCCAGCUUGGCUGCAAAUUGUCUGUGUGAACUUGAGCAAGUCAUGGCACCUCUCUGAGCCUCAGUUUCCUUUUCUGCACAGUUAGGGCAAUGGGCAAGAUGACCUGUAAGCUACAAUGUUCCUAAAACUACUCUUUUGGAGACUUGAAAA
Molecule: long non-coding RNA, 6961 nt
Organism: Phascolarctos cinereus (koala)
Lineage: Eukaryota; Metazoa; Chordata; Mammalia; Diprotodontia; Phascolarctidae
Source: RefSeq, a predicted model, not a curated record